RNAcentral lists this ribosomal RNA (449 nucleotides) under uncultured soil bacterium. Its description in RNAcentral is "bacterial SSU rRNA". It matches the Rfam family "Bacterial small subunit ribosomal RNA", at positions 26 to 518 of the family's 1533-position model. The record is from RNAcentral.
AGAACGAACGCUGGCGGCAUGCCUAAUACAUGCAAGUCGAACGAAUGCCCUUCGGGGUGUUAGUGGCGCACGGGUGCGUAACGCGUGGGAAUCUGCCCUUGGGUUCGGAAUAACAGUUAGAAAUGACUGCUAAUACCGGAUGAUGACGUAAGUCCAAAGAUUUAUCGCCCAGGGAUGAGCCCGCGUAGGAUUAGCUAGUUGGUGGGGUAAAGGCCUACCAAGGCGACGAUCCUUAGCUGGUCUGAGAGGAUGAUCAGCCACACUGGGACUGAGACACGGCCCAGACUCCUACGGGAGGCAGCAGUAGGGAAUAUUGGACAAUGGGCAAAGCCUAGAUCCAGCAAUGCCGCGUGAGUGAUGAAGGCCUUAGGGUUGUAAAGCUCUUUACCCGAGAUGAUAAUGACAGUAUCGGAGAAUAAGCUCCGGACUAACUCCGUGCCAGCAGCCGC